AACCAAGAAAUUUAGUCAUUCUUUUAUGGUAAAAAGACAGUUAGGCAAAAUAAAUAAAAUCAUCAGAUCUCUAGUAAAGGAGUAAAAUCUAAAUACUAAGAGUUAUACCGAACAUGGUUUAUUUAAAAUGUUGAGUCUGUGACAGCUUUAAGGGAAACUGGGAUUGGAUACCCCAUUAUUUUUAGUUAUAAAUUUAGUUUAAGCUUACCGGAGUACUACGAAUAAAAAGUUUAAAACUCAAAGAGCUUGGCGGUGUUUUAGACCUCUCAGGGGAACCUGUCUCGUAAUCGACAAUCCACGUUAAACCUAACCUUUUAUAGUGAUACAGCCUGUAUACCGUCGUCGUCAGGUAACUUCUUAAAAUAUAGUAGUUAGCUUGAGAAUUUAAUUAAUUAAAACGUCAGAUCAAGGUGCAGCUAAUAAAGAGGUGAGGAUGGGUUACAAUUACAUAUUUGUAAAUACGGAAAAUACUUGAAAUGAAGUGUUUGGAAGGAGGACUUGAAAGUAAUUUUGAUUAUAUAAACACAAUGAAUAAGGCUCUGAAACGUGC
Molecule: ribosomal RNA, 550 nt
Filed under: Conus bruuni
Lineage: Eukaryota; Metazoa; Mollusca; Gastropoda; Neogastropoda; Conidae
Description: partial 12S ribosomal RNA
Source: RNAcentral